This is a long non-coding RNA of Nematostella vectensis (starlet sea anemone), 1743 nucleotides long. RefSeq lists it as uncharacterized. The record is from RefSeq and is a predicted model, not a curated record. NCBI's taxonomy places the organism in Eukaryota, Metazoa, Cnidaria, Anthozoa, Actiniaria, Edwardsiidae. The transcript is spliced from 2 exons.
UGCCAUGUCAAAAUACCUGUUUAUUCUAGAAAUUUUAUUGGCCAAGAUAAAACAUUAUAGCAUAAGAUACACAGCACAGCAUGAUUCAUAAUAUUUUUUAAUAUUUUGGUUAUAGGGUUAAUUACUGUCUGAUGGUAAUUUUAUGUGGGGAACCUUGUGAAUAUAAGACAACUAACAGCUAUUGUUCUGGCUUCUUCUGAUUGGUUCACCACAUAAAAAAUCACCUGUAAGGUAUAAAGCAAAGGACAUGUUUCACGCAAUUUCUUCAAAAUCUUACUAUGUUUGGUAUAAAAUACUAUGGUAAGUGUCAAAAGCUUUCUGUGGUGAUUACCAAGGAAUACCUCAACUAUGGUAAGUGUCAAGCUUUCUGUAGGAAUUACCUAGGAAUGCCUCAACUAUGGUAUGUGUCAAGCUUUCUGUGGGGAUUACCAAGGAAUGCCUCAACUAUUGUAAGUGUCAAAAGCUUUCUGUGGAGAUUACCUAGGAAUACCUCAGCUUUGGUAAGUGUCAAGCUUUCUGUGGGAAUUACCUAGGAAUGCCUCAACUAUGGUAUGUGUCAAGCUUUCUGUGGGGAUUACCAAGGAAUGCCUCAACUAUUGUAAGUGUCAAAAGCUUUCUGUGGUGAUUACCUAGGAAUGCCUCAACUAUGGUAAGUGUCAAGCUUUCUGUGGGAAUUACCUAGGAAUACCUCAACUAUGGUAAGUGUCAAAAGCUUUCUGUGGGGAUUACCAAGGAAUGCCUCAACUAUGGUAUGUGUCAAAAGCUUUCUGUGGUGAUUACCUAGGAAUGCCUCAACUAUGGUAAGUGUCAAGCUUUCUGUGGGAAUUACCUAGGAAUGCCUCAGCUUUGGUAAGUGUCAAAAGCUUUCUGUGGGGAUUCCAAGGAAUGCCUCAACUAUGGUAUGUGUCAAAAGCUUUCUGUGGGGAUUACCAAGGAAUGCCUCAGCUAUGGUAAGUGUCAAAAGCUUUCUGUGGGGAUUACCAAGGAAUGCCUCAGCUUUGGUAAGUGUCAAAAGCUUUCUGUAGGGAUUACCUAGGAAUGCCUCAACUAUGGUAAGUGUCAAAAGCUUUCUGUAGGGUUUACCUAGGAAUGCCUCAACUAUGGUAUGUGUCAAAAGCUUUCUGUGGAGAUUACCAAUUAAUGCCUCAGCUUUGGUAAGUGUCAAAAGCUUUCUGUGGGGAUUACCAAGGAAUGCCUCAACUAUGGUAUAUGUCAAAUGCUUUCUGUGGGGAUUACCAAGGAAUGCCUCAGCUAUGGUAAGUUUCAAAAGCUUUCUGUGGGAAUUACCAAGGAAUGCCUCAACUAUGGUAAGUGUCAAGUUUUCUGUGGGUAUUAUCAAAGAGUAUGGGAGUAUAAAGUAUACUACAUGUUGCUUUUAAUAUUGUGUUAUAUCAUGUAUGUUAUACUUUCAUCUAUUGUUUUUAAUGCACCAUGGUAUUGAUUUCAGCGUAUGAGAUGACUCUAGAGGAGGGGCUGAAGGUGGAAAAGAGGAUGUUCCAUACCACAUUUGCUCUUGUAAUUACAGUCAACGCCCUGUUGAAGUCUUGAAGCUUUUACUUCUUUAGAGCAAAGAGGGGCAGAGAUGUCUAGCACAUCAACUCCUAGAGCACAUCAAGCCUGCCUGUGGUUACCAUUGCAAUGUCACACUUCUGUUCCUGGAUGCAACAAGGAGAACUUUUGGCAUUGGUGACAGUAUAAAUAUUGGAUUAAACUAACAAAGUUGCACUUUUUAUCUCAACAUAA